UCGUCAAGUGGGAUAAUUCUUACCUGUUUCUCCUUUUGGAGGGCAGAUAGAAUAGGCUGAUAGGAGAUGCAUGAAACGUGGUUAAUGUCUCUGUGUAAUCAGGACUUGCAACACCUGUUACUCCUUUCUGAU
Small nucleolar RNA from Cercocebus atys (sooty mangabey), 132 nucleotides. Its record names the gene U8. It matches the Rfam family "U8 small nucleolar RNA". From Rfam's summary of the family: U8 is a member of the C/D class of snoRNA which contain the C (UGAUGA) and D (CUGA) box motifs. U8 is the RNA component of a small complex (the U8 snoRNP) which is required for accumulation of mature large subunit ribosomal RNAs, 5.8S and 28S rRNAs. The record is from Ensembl. Lineage: Eukaryota; Metazoa; Chordata; Mammalia; Primates; Cercopithecidae.